GUCUCCGGUUAAUCCAUCGAAUUAAUCGUAUGGAUCGCGGGGGAUACUGGUUGGCUAGGGGACGAGAGAAGCAGACAGUAUUUCCGGGGUAGGGGUGAAAUCCUAUAAUCCCGGGAAGACCACCAGUGGCGAAAGCUGUCUGCUAGAACGCGCCCCACGGUGAGGGAUGAAAGCUGGGGGAACGAACCGGAUUAAAUACCCGGGUAGUCCCAGCUGUAAACGAUGCAGGCUAGGUGUUUGGACGGACACCUGCCGUUCUAGUGCCCCAAGAAAGCUGUUAAGCCUGCCCCCUGGGGAGUACGAUCGCAAGAUUGAAACUUAAAGGAAUUGGCGGGGGAACACCCCCAGGGGUGAAACUUGCGGUUUUAUUGGAAUCCACGCCGGAAAUCUCCCCGGGAGCGACAGCUGUGUGAAGGCCAGAUUAAAGGUCUUGCCAUACCAGCUGAAAAGAAGUGGAUGGGCCUCCCCCGUUCCUGCCUGGAGGUGUCCUGGUUAGUCCAGGAACGAUCGAAACCCGCGUCCUCUGUUGCUACUAGCCUUGUGCUGGGCACACUGAAGAGACCGCCACUGAUAAAGUGGAGGAAGGAGCGGGCCACGGCAGGUCAGUAUGCCCCGAAUCUCCCGGGCCACACGCGAGCUGCAAUGGCAGGUACAAUGAGUUCCGACCUCGAAAGGCGGAGGCAAUCUCGAAAGCCUGCCGUAGUUGGGAUCGAAGGCUGCAACCCGCCUUCUUGAACAUGGAAUCCCUAGUAAUCGCGUGUCAUCAGCUCGCGGUGAAUACGUCCCUGCUUCUUGCA
Molecule: ribosomal RNA, 797 nt
Filed under: uncultured archaeon
Lineage: Archaea
Description: bacterial SSU rRNA
Rfam family: Archaeal small subunit ribosomal RNA
Source: RNAcentral